RNA transcript from Cynoglossus semilaevis (tongue sole), 4783 nucleotides. It is a transcript of the gene named eukaryotic translation initiation factor 3 subunit I, with no coding region annotated. The record is from RefSeq and is a predicted model, not a curated record. The transcript is spliced from 7 exons. Lineage: Eukaryota; Metazoa; Chordata; Actinopteri; Pleuronectiformes; Cynoglossidae.
CCCCCCCCCCCCCACACACACACACACACACACACACACACACACACACACAUUCAUUACUGUAAAUGAGCUGUACUUAGCUGAUCCCAAUGACCACAAAAAAUCCUCUAAACUACUUUGCCCUUCAAAUACUGACAGCACAGGAACCAUGUCUUGCAGAGAGCAUACUGUAGCUUCUUCAUUCUGACAGCCUCUCUCAACAUUUCAAUUGUUAGUUUUUAUAAUUGAAACAUUAAUAUGAAAUUUGAUGCUUGUUUGUUCCGGGGGAAUUGAUAGAAUUACAGGUAAACACAGCCUUAUUUCAUUCACAUUCCCCUGAAGGGUUUGAACUGACUCAAACUUCAGCACAGAUACCAGUGGGUUUUUGUUCCAACCACCUGACUGCUGACUCACUCGGCUUAAUGGGGAAAAAAAUAAUACGGUAACACAUAAACUCUCUCUUCACCUGAGAAACUGAUAACAACUAAUUUUGUUUUAAUCCUGGAUCAUGUUACGCUGUUGUUUUAGAAUUAAUAUUAAAGCAGAUGUAGAAUGCAUUAAAUCUACAUGUGACAGAAAGACUGAAAGAAAAAGCAAUGAGAAAAUAACAUGAUAAUCAAAGAAGCACAAUCUUACUGUGGGAUAAUGAACAUGAAGAAUGCAGAAACUGCUGGAAGUUAAUGUAUAGAUACUUAGACACAUGGUGAAAGAUUUCAGUUAAUUUGUGUGGAAACUGUCUUUCCACCUAAAAUCCAGCUUUUAUAAUCCUUAUAUAUAAACUAUUAAUGUUUAAUAUUGCAUCAUGAAGAACCUCACCCACAGGUUCCAAAUAUUCAUUGAUAGAAGUUUCAAACAAACAGUUUUACACUUGACUACAUUACUUGCACAAAUUUAAGUUAGACUUUAGCAAACAAUUGGUGAAUGAACCAAAGAGUGUUUUCUUAAGCUGAACAUUUUUUUCUGUUUCUCAGACAUUUUUUGACUUUUUUUGAAUUUUCUAUCAAGUACGUUCACGUUCAUCCCUACUCAUUGAAGACUUACUGGAAACUAUAAUUGAAAUAUCCUCUGUGUCUAUUAAACUGGAGAACCGAACCUGACAGCCAUAACUAUAAUUUUAUCAAAUGUUGAUCCUCUCGUCACGAUUUGCAAAUGUUACUUGAAAUAUCUAAAACAAGUUAGAAAGUUCAAGUUAGAAAAUAUAGCCUUUUCAAUCUGAGCAGUAAAAGCAUUGAUUGUUGAUAAUUAGGCUUAAUGUAGUGAAGUUUGUAGAUGGUUUUUUUUGUUUUACCGACAAAACAAGUUUAUAAUGUUUGGAGCCUCAAUGCUCAGUGCUCGACUUCAGUUACACAAGUGAUGGUAAAACACUUAAUGAAUGCCUAAAAGAAAAUUACACAUUAUUUCUUUUAAGUAAAGCUGGUAAAGGUAAAUGAUAGUGUAAAUACACAAUCUCAGUCUUUUGUCCUGAGACUCAGGGUUCGUCUUUAUCUAGCUUCUGACAGUUUAUUUUAUUUUUUAUUUUUUAAUUAUUUCAGGAGUCGGCACAACAAACAUCUGAAGUCAGUUUUGAGUUAACAUGUUACUAUAGUCACUUUCAGCCAUGGAAGACUUAACACAACUCAUCAUUCAGCAUUGAAGUGGCAAAAAAGAGUAGAAGUUGAUUUGAGUGCUGAAUGUUGCAGUAAUUGUGUAAUUAUUAUUUCACUCUGUUAUUUAUAACGCUGCAGUUGCCAUAUGGCCAAAGUGCUUGAAAAGCAUUUUUAUUUUAAAUGAACUGUUUUGUUUCAAACUCAUGCAGUUAGUCAUUAUCUGUGCCUUAUUCUGCAGUGUGAAUUUGGCGUGUUGUCAGUGUGACAUAGAAUGUAGUGAAGAGCUUCGCUGUUACUUCCCUAAACCAAAGUUAAUGCACUGGUCCCACUGCUGUAUUUGACCAGUAUAUAGGCCAUAUGUUAUUCUGUAUAUCAGCCAUGUAAAUUAAUAUGCAAAAAGAAUAUUUAUUAUUAAUUAUGACUGCUGUGAUUAAAAUGUGUUUUGAAAUGAAACCAACGCAAGUUUUCUUAGAUUUUCUAAAGCUGGAAGAAGAAACUACCAUUUUUAUUUCUAAUAAGUCUUUGUAGCCUUGGUAAUUAUCAAGAAUUAUAUGAAGUUGAAAUAGUUGAUUAAAUUUAAAUUGUUAACCCCAGGACUUGCAUGUCCAAUGAGUUUUCACAGUGGGAAAGUAGAUUUUCCAACAAAAUAAUUGAAUAAUUUUUACAGCAAAUUUUAGCUAUUAUCAGCUGACUGUUUUUUUUUUUUUUUAUUGACAUGGUUUUGGCUAACUUGGCCGUUUGUUACCAAUAUACCUCGUCUGACAACUUUAGAUCAGUGUGACUCUGUAAAAAAGGUUAAUUCCUCUUCUGAAUCUUCAGCAGCCUUGGUCAGGAUGAGUGACUAAAUAUAUGUGGGGGGAUGAUCCUUUACAUCCUUAACCCUCUGCUAUUUUACAUUUUAUUAAUACCAUAGGGGGAAGUGACAUUAGUUUGUCUUCUUAACUGCCUUUUAAUGAAUUAUUUAUCCCUGGUUUAAUGAUGUAUACUGUGGCCCUGUAAUGUGCCCUAAUGACAGUGAACGAGGCGGCCUAGGCUGAAGUAUUAAUUUGUUGUGUCUCCCCGAUGAUUAUUCCUCUGCCUCCAACACCACCACUUUCACGCCUCGCUUUCGCUGCUGCUGCUCUAAACACAGGCCUGGAUACAGGCGUGAUUCAUGGAGGCUUUCCGCUCAGUGGUGUGACUUGAUUUCUUGCUGUCACGCUUCCCGUUGAAUGCGAUACAUCCAGGGGGGAUUCACAGCAAUUAGUUCUGCUUUUUAUUUGUCUUUCAGGCACUUCCAGACAUAGCUUGAUGAAUCUGCUGCGGGAAUCCUGAAUUAUAAAUCCAGUAAUAAAAUCUAACCAAGGAUAAGAGCGCUAUAACAGGUAUCGCAGAUAAAACCCUUUUGUUUGUGUCUUUGUCUAACUAUCUUCACUCGACACUCGAGUCACAUCUAAACAUACAGUAAUAAGAAGACAUUUUUUAAAAGUAUGUAAAUUAAGAAAAUUUUGGUGAAAAAUUGGUGAAAUUGUCAACAAAAAUAUGCACCAAUCUUUAACCCAGAUGUAUAGUUUGUGCUAAAAAUUUCAAAAAGCAUUUUAUUGUCUAAUAGCAAAAAUCACUGCAUAUAGUAGUGUCAAAAAACACCUCAAAGGGUUCAAAUCCCUGUGCAAUGACUUUAAACAAAAUGUAUGACUUCUGUCAGUGAAUGAUGAAGUUAAAAAAGGGCUAAUUAGAGUUGGAAUUCUUAUUUAUUGUGUUUACUAAUUUAUCCUGAAUCCAUAUACUAGUUUAAUUCAAUAUAUAGAAUUUGCACCUGGGACCUACUGCCUAGUGGAUGGAUGGAUGUGAUUGAAAAUCUAAAAUGUUAUUAGGAAACUUCUCAUAUGUUCGCUAUUUGUUUCUGUUUUUAUUUAUUUAUUUAUUAUUAAAUCAUUUGUUUUAAUUUGUAUUUAUUUGUACACACACAGAUCUACAAAUUCUUUCACGUUAAUACUUAAAUUUACGUCAUUUCCUCUUCCUGGUUUCCGCACGUGUAGCAAGAGUUUUUAAAUUAUACCGGAAAUGUGCGCUCUGGUUUUAGUCAAACGUUUCGUCGUCGUGUGUGUCUGUGUUUGUGUGUAAGUAGAUGUCAUGAGGGUAAAGAUAACUUGACACAAACAAACUUUUAACGUUUAAACUACAUAAUAAAGCAGUUUUAUGUGAUGUUCAGCCAUUUUAUGGACGUUAGUGCGUUAGUUUUUUUCUCGAUAACCUUUUUUGGCGGCACGUUAACCUGCUACCGUGUGUUUAGUGCUGCGGUCCAGCGUUUUCAUAUCUGUGGACACGUAAUGCACAGCGGAUGGCUCUUCUGGAAAAGGCAAACGUUUGAAAAACCUAAAGGUGACCAACGUGCGGUAGGUCGACUGUGACUGGGACACCAAAAAUGUUUUGACAGGAUCAGCAAGACCGGUGGGUGAAAAGAAAAUGCAUGUGUUCAUCAGUGCCUCAAAGGACAACACUGCCAAGCUCCUUGACGAGAGACCAGUGAACUCUGCCGCCAUUUCUCCAAUCAUGGAUCACGUGGUUAUGGGAGGUGGGCAGGAGGCUAUGGAAGUGACCACAACCUCCACCAGGAUUGACAAAUUUGAGGCCAGGUUCUUCUAUGCUGUGUAGUAGGAGGAGGAGUUUGGCAGAGUGAAAGGUCAUUUUGUCCCAUCAACUGUGUGGCUUUCCACACCAAGAGACACAGCAGCUUGGACUCUGCCAGGUAGAGUGAAGGAGCAACUUUAUUUGAAGCAGAUCACUUGUUGGUUGCUGGACUUGUGAGUGUUUUACUGAGUUGUGUAAUUGUAGUGACUAAUUGUUUACCUUGAGCUGUAUUUGACUUAAAUCCCUGUUGUAAAGAAAGAGGGACUUGGGUUUUUUUUAGUUAUGUAAAAAUUAUUCUCAAUUUCUUUGUGAGCUGUCUUUGACUGUUGUAAACCUUCUAGAAUAAGCCUCUUCUAAAGGUAAAAAAAAGAGAAAAAAAAAAACCUUUUUUGUGCCUUAAUGCUGUUGGCAGGUAGUCACUUUUAUUGUGAAGCUUCUUCUAAAGGUAAAGAAAGAAAACCUUUUUUAAAUACUUAAAAAAACCUUAAAUUUUUUUUUUAUAUAUAGUUAUGUGAAAGUUCAUUGUGCCUUAAUGGUAUUGUCACUUUCAUUGUGAGCUCUAUUUGACUCUUCUAAACCUUCCAGAAUAAAGAAACUGUGUGCACUCA